This 253-nucleotide ribosomal RNA is filed under the name uncultured bacterium. RNAcentral describes it as "partial 16S ribosomal RNA". It matches the Rfam family "Bacterial small subunit ribosomal RNA", at positions 524 to 776 of the family's 1533-position model. The record is from RNAcentral.
UACGGAGGGUGCAAGCGUUGUUCGGAAUCAUUGGGCGUAAAGCGCGUGUAGGCGGCUUGGCAAGUCAGUUGUGAAAGCCCGGGGCCCAGCCCCGGAACUGCAUCUGAAACUGCCUGGCUAGAGUCCCGGAGAGGAAGGCAGAAUUCCCGGUGUAGGGGUGAAAUGCGUAGAUAUCGGAAGGAACAUCAGUGGCGAAAGCGACUGCCUGGUCCAGCAUCGACGUUCAGGCACGAAAGCGUGGGGAGCAAACAGG